Molecule: ribosomal RNA, 494 nt
Filed under: uncultured bacterium
Lineage: Bacteria
Description: bacterial SSU rRNA
Rfam family: Bacterial small subunit ribosomal RNA
Source: RNAcentral
AUGACUGGCGGCAGCCUACCAUGCAAGUCGAGCGGAUGAAAGGAGCUUGCUCCUGGAUUCAGCGGCGGACGGGUGAGUAAUGCCUAGGAAUCUGCCUGGUAGUGGGGGACAACGUUUCGAAAGGAACGCUAAUACCGCAUACGUCCUACGGGAGAAAGCAGGGGACCUUCGGGCCUUGCGCUAUCAGAUGAGCCUAGGUCGGAUUAGCUAGUUGGUGAGGUAAUGGCUCACCAAGGCGACGAUCCGUAACUGGUCUGAGAGGAUGAUCAGUCACACUGGAACUGAGACACGGUCCAGACUCCUACGGGAGGCAGCAGUGGGGAAUAUUGGACAAUGGGCGAAAGCCUGAUCCAGCCAUGCCGCGUGUGUGAAGAAGGUCUUCGGAUUGUAAAGCACUUUAAGUUGGGAGGAAGGGUUGUAGAUUAAUACUCUGCAAUUUUGACGUUGCCGACAGAAUAAGCACCGGCUAACUCUGUGCCAGCAGCCGCGGUAAU